This 1493-nucleotide ribosomal RNA is filed under the name Lactiplantibacillus plantarum. Its description in RNAcentral is "Lactobacillus plantarum 16S ribosomal RNA". It matches the Rfam family "Bacterial small subunit ribosomal RNA". Lineage: Bacteria; Bacillati; Bacillota; Bacilli; Lactobacillales; Lactobacillaceae. The record is from RNAcentral. RNAcentral also lists the same sequence under 1 other name.
GACGAACGCUGGCGGCGUGCCUAAUACAUGCAAGUCGAACGAACUCUGGUAUUGAUUGGUGCUUGCAUCAUGAUUUACAUUUGAGUGAGUGGCGAACUGGUGAGUAACACGUGGGAAACCUGCCCAGAAGCGGGGGAUAACACCUGGAAACAGAUGCUAAUACCGCAUAACAACUUGGACCGCAUGGUCCGAGCUUGAAAGAUGGCUUCGGCUAUCACUUUUGGAUGGUCCCGCGGCGUAUUAGCUAGAUGGUGGGGUAACGGCUCACCAUGGCAAUGAUACGUAGCCGACCUGAGAGGGUAAUCGGCCACAUUGGGACUGAGACACGGCCCAAACUCCUACGGGAGGCAGCAGUAGGGAAUCUUCCACAAUGGACGAAAGUCUGAUGGAGCAACGCCGCGUGAGUGAAGAAGGGUUUCGGCUCGUAAAACUCUGUUGUUAAAGAAGAACAUAUCUGAGAGUAACUGUUCAGGUAUUGACGGUAUUUAACCAGAAAGCCACGGCUAACUACGUGCCAGCAGCCGCGGUAAUACGUAGGUGGCAAGCGUUGUCCGGAUUUAUUGGGCGUAAAGCGAGCGCAGGCGGUUUUUUAAGUCUGAUGUGAAAGCCUUCGGCUCAACCGAAGAAGUGCAUCGGAAACUGGGAAACUUGAGUGCAGAAGAGGACAGUGGAACUCCAUGUGUAGCGGUGAAAUGCGUAGAUAUAUGGAAGAACACCAGUGGCGAAGGCGGCUGUCUGGUCUGUAACUGACGCUGAGGCUCGAAAGUAUGGGUAGCAAACAGGAUUAGAUACCCUGGUAGUCCAUACCGUAAACGAUGAAUGCUAAGUGUUGGAGGGUUUCCGCCCUUCAGUGCUGCAGCUAACGCAUUAAGCAUUCCGCCUGGGGAGUACGGCCGCAAGGCUGAAACUCAAAGGAAUUGACGGGGGCCCGCACAAGCGGUGGAGCAUGUGGUUUAAUUCGAAGCUACGCGAAGAACCUUACCAGGUCUUGACAUACUAUGCAAAUCUAAGAGAUUAGACGUUCCCUUCGGGGACAUGGAUACAGGUGGUGCAUGGUUGUCGUCAGCUCGUGUCGUGAGAUGUUGGGUUAAGUCCCGCAACGAGCGCAACCCUUAUUAUCAGUUGCCAGCAUUAAGUUGGGCACUCUGGUGAGACUGCCGGUGACAAACCGGAGGAAGGUGGGGAUGACGUCAAAUCAUCAUGCCCCUUAUGACCUGGGCUACACACGUGCUACAAUGGAUGGUACAACGAGUUGCGAACUCGCGAGAGUAAGCUAAUCUCUUAAAGCCAUUCUCAGUUCGGAUUGUAGGCUGCAACUCGCCUACAUGAAGUCGGAAUCGCUAGUAAUCGCGGAUCAGCAUGCCGCGGUGAAUACGUUCCCGGGCCUUGUACACACCGCCCGUCACACCAUGAGAGUUUGUAACACCCAAAGUCGGUGGGGUAACCUUUUAGGAACCAGCCGCCUAAGGUGGGACAGAUGAUUAGGGUGAAGU